RNAcentral lists this ribosomal RNA (490 nucleotides) under uncultured bacterium. RNAcentral describes it as "partial 16S ribosomal RNA". It matches the Rfam family "Bacterial small subunit ribosomal RNA", at positions 30 to 507 of the family's 1533-position model. The record is from RNAcentral.
AUUGAACGCUGGCGGCAUGCCUUACACAUGCAAGUCGAACGGCAGCAUGAUCUAGCUUGCUAGAUUGAUGGCGAGUGGCGAACGGGUGAGUAAUACAUCGGAACGUGCCCUGUAGUGGGGGACAACUAGUCGAAAGAUUAGCUAAUACCGCAUACGACCUGAGGGUGAAAGUGGGGGACCGCAAGGCCUCAUGCUAUAGGAGCGGCCGAUGUCUGAUUAGCUAGUUGGUGAGGUAAAGGCUCACCAAGGCGACGAUCAGUAGCUGGUCUGAGAGGACGAUCAGCCACACUGGGACUGAGACACGGCCCAGACUCCUACGGGAGGCAGCAGUGGGGAAUUUUGGACAAUGGGCGAAAGCCUGAUCCAGCAAUGCCGCGUGUGUGAAGAAGGCCUUCGGGUUGUAAAGCACUUUUGUCCGGAAAGAAAUGGCCCUGGUUAAUACCUGGGGUCGAUGACGGUACCGGAAGAAUAAGGACCGGCUAACUACGUG